Molecule: ribosomal RNA, 427 nt
Filed under: uncultured Rhodocyclaceae bacterium
Lineage: Bacteria; Pseudomonadati; Pseudomonadota; Betaproteobacteria; Rhodocyclales; Rhodocyclaceae
Description: bacterial SSU rRNA
Rfam family: Bacterial small subunit ribosomal RNA
Source: RNAcentral
GCAACGACGAAAACCUUACCUACCCUUGACAUGUCCGGAAUCCCGAAGAGAUUUGGGAGUGCUCGCAAGAGAGCCGGAACACAGGUGCUGCAUGGCUGUCGUCAGCUCGUGUCGUGAGAUGUUGGGUUAAGUCCCGCAACGAGCGCAACCCUUGUCAUUAGUUGCCAUCAUUUGGUUGGGCACUCUAAUGAGACUGCCGGUGACAAACCGGAGGAAGGUGGGGAUGACGUCAAGUCCUCAUGGCCCUUAUGGGUAGGGCUUCACACGUCAUACAAUGGUCGGUACAGAGGGUUGCCAACCCGCGAGGGGGAGCUAAUCCCACAAAGCCGAUCGUAGUCCGGAUCGCAGUCUGCAACUCGACUGCGUGAAGUCGGAAUCGCUAGUAAUCGUGGAUCAGCAUGUCACGGUGAAUACGUUCCCGGGUCUU